This is a non-coding RNA of Pelobates cultripes (western spadefoot toad), 235 nucleotides long. Lineage: Eukaryota; Metazoa; Chordata; Amphibia; Anura; Pelobatidae. The record is from the annotation of a GenBank genome assembly.
UAAAUUGAACUUUAAUCACAUACAGGAGGCUCUUGCAGGGUCUAUCAAGCUAUUAACAUAGCAGGGGAUAAGAAAAUCUUAAUUAAACAGAACUUGCAAUAAAGAAAGCCUAAAUAGGGCUCUCUUUACAGGAAGUGUUUAUGGAAGGCUGUGCAAGUCACAUGCAGGGAGGUGUGACUAGGGUUCAUAAACAAAGGGAUUUAACUCCUAAAUGGCAGAGGAUUGAGCAGUGAGG